Molecule: non-coding RNA, 71 nt
Organism: Dicentrarchus labrax (European seabass)
Lineage: Eukaryota; Metazoa; Chordata; Actinopteri; Moronidae
Source: the annotation of a RefSeq genome assembly
AAGAUGCUAGUAAAACUAAAAUUGCACUGCCUCGUCAGGGCAGAAUUGUGGGUUAAAACCCCGCGCAUCUU